AACGAACGCUGGCGGCAUGCCUAACACAUGCAAGUCGAACGAGACCUUCGGGUCUAGUGGCGAACGGGUGCGUAACGCGUGGGAACCUGCCCUUAGGUUCGGAAUAACUCCCCGAAAGGGGUGCUAAUACCGGAUAAUGUCUUCGGACCAAAGAUUUAUCGCCUUUGGAUGGGCCCGCGUUGGAUUAGCUAGUUGGUAGGGUAAAAGCCUACCAAGGCGACGAUCCAUAGCUGGUCUGAGAGGAGGAUCAGCCACACUGGGACUGAGACACGGCCCAGACUCCUACGGGAGGAAGCAGUGGGGAAUAUUGGACAAUGGGCGAAAGCCUGAUCCAGCAAUGCCGCGUGAGUGAUGAAGGCCUUAGGGUUGUAAAGCUCUUUUACCCGGGAUGAUAAUGACAGUACCGGGAGAAUAAGCUCCGGCUAACUCCGUG
RNAcentral lists this ribosomal RNA (433 nucleotides) under uncultured bacterium. RNAcentral describes it as "partial 16S ribosomal RNA". It matches the Rfam family "Bacterial small subunit ribosomal RNA", at positions 29 to 507 of the family's 1533-position model. The record is from RNAcentral.